CUAGUGGCCCUAAUCGACUAUUAGAUUUUGAUGAUAACAAAUAAUCACGAUUAUUGAACUAAUCAUUUAUCUUGAGUUUUGUGUUUUAGAUCUCUCUAUCUUCAAAAAGAAUUCAAGAUGGGCAAUAUUUUAGCACCAAGCUUCACCACUUGAAGCUGUGUUUGCUUCCUUUGUCAAAAAGACAAACUCACUCCAUUCUUAAUUUGAUUAAUAUUUUUACUUAUGAUUAGAGUGAGAAAUUUGAGCAAAGUUCAAACUAUUCUUUUAUCACCUUAUAGAUCACUUGAAUAUAUUCCUAACUUGUGAUUAGGUGAAUAGAAUUUUUAAAUAUUCUAAAACUGCUCAAAUUCUGUGUUCUGUGAAAUUAAAAUUUCUGGACUCUAUUCUGGGCGCCCGAAAGUGGAUCCGAAUCUUUUGAGACCUUUUGGAUCCUGCCUGUUUGCUGUUCGGGUGAUCCAGAAACACAAAGACUGUUUGACUUGACAGGUUGCGACAACAGGCGGCGCAAAAUCUGGGCGCCCAGAUUUUGUGGAAGCAGCGGCGCACGCAAUCUGGGCUGUCUGGCAAGAAAGUCAGCACGACUUUCUGAGCGCCCAC
RNAcentral lists this long non-coding RNA (597 nucleotides) under Ananas comosus (pineapple). RNAcentral describes it as "long non-coding RNA (ACOM_LNC031870)". Lineage: Eukaryota; Viridiplantae; Streptophyta; Magnoliopsida; Poales; Bromeliaceae. The record is from RNAcentral.